Molecule: long non-coding RNA, 350 nt
Organism: Physella acuta
Lineage: Eukaryota; Metazoa; Mollusca; Gastropoda; Physidae
Source: RefSeq, a predicted model, not a curated record
GCGAGAAGUAAUUGUUUCUAGCUCCUAUUAAUACACGCCCGUUCGACUUCUAGGAAAUAUAGACCUUGACAUCCUUAACAAUAACUUCACAACAACUCGCAGCGUUGUUGAAAUGUGACAUAGCAGGCACACGUUCUUGUCAUCACAUCACCCAAAAGGUUUCUUUCAAAUCGUGUGGAUUAACAUAAUGAAAGUACAUAUAUUUAUCUUGUUGGCGUUUGUCCUGCAAGUAUUCUGCACACUAGCAAGGACAUGUGACGUGGAUAAGUUUCAAUGCGCCAACAACGGAUGUAUUUCCGCCAGUUUCAGAUGUGACGAUGAUAAUGAUUGCGGUGACUAUUCAGAUGAGC